Molecule: ribosomal RNA, 461 nt
Filed under: uncultured bacterium
Lineage: Bacteria
Description: partial 16S ribosomal RNA
Rfam family: Bacterial small subunit ribosomal RNA
Source: RNAcentral
CCUACGGGAGGCAGCAGUGAGGAAUAUUGGUCAAUGGGCUUACGCCUGAACCAGCCAAGUCGCGUGAGGGAAGACUGCCCUAUGGGUUGUAAGCCUCUUUUGUCAGGGGGCAACGCGUGCUACGUGUACCCUGGCUCAUAGUCCCUGCAGACAGAACAUCGGCUAACUCCGUGCCAGCCGCCGCGGUAAUACGGAGGAUGCGAGCGUUCUCCGGAUUUAUUGGGUUUAAGGGGAGCGUAGGUGGAUUGUUAAGUCAGUUGUGAAAGUUUGCGGCUCAACCGUACAAUUGCAGUUGAAACUGGCAGGCUUGAGUACAGUAGAGGUGGGCGGAAUUCGUGGUGUAGCGGUGAAAUGCUUAGAGAUCACGAAGAACUCCGAUUGCGAAGGCAGCCCACUGGACGGCAACUGACACUGAGGCUCGAAAGUGUGGGUAGCAAACAGGAUUAGAUACCCGUGUAGUC